Molecule: ribosomal RNA, 702 nt
Filed under: Lactobacillales bacterium BCOT-12
Lineage: Bacteria; Bacillati; Bacillota; Bacilli; Lactobacillales
Description: bacterial SSU rRNA
Rfam family: Bacterial small subunit ribosomal RNA
Source: RNAcentral
UAUCAUGCAGUCGUACGCUUCUUUUUCCACCGGAGCUUGCUCCACCGGAAAAAGAAKAGCCGCGAACGGGUGAGUAACACGUGGGUAACCUGCCCAUCAGAAGGGGAUAACACUUGGAAACAGGUGCUAAUACCGUAUAACAAUCGAAACCGCAUGGUUUUGAUUUGAAAGGCGCUUUCGGGUGUCGCUGAUGGAUGGACCCGCGGUGCAUUAGCUAGUUGGUGAGGUAACGGCUCACCAAGGCYACGAUGCAUAGCCGACCUGAGAGGGUGAUCGGCCACAUUGGGACUGAGACACGGCCCAAACUCCUACGGGAGGCAGCAGUAGGGAAUCUUCGGCAAUGGACGAAAGUCUGACCGAGCAACGCCGCGUGAGUGAAGAAGGUUUUCGGAUCGUAAAACUCUGUUGUUAGAGAAGAACAAGGAUGAGAGUAACUGUUCAUCCCUUGACGGUAUCUAACCAGAAAGCCACGGCUAACUACGUGCCAGCAGCCGCGGUAAUACGUAGGUGGCAAGCGUUGUCCGGAUUUAUUGGGCGUAAAGCGAGCGCAGGCGGUUUCUUAAGUCUGAUGUGAAAGCCCCCGGCUCAACCGGGGAGGGUCAUUGGAAACUGGGAGACUUGAGUGCAGAAGAGGAGAGUGGAAUUUCCAUGUGUAGCGGUGAAAUGCGUAGAUAUAUGGAGGAACACCAGUGGCGAAGCGGC